Molecule: ribosomal RNA, 272 nt
Filed under: uncultured Finegoldia sp.
Lineage: Bacteria; Bacillati; Bacillota; Tissierellia; Tissierellales; Peptoniphilaceae
Description: partial 16S ribosomal RNA
Rfam family: Bacterial small subunit ribosomal RNA
Source: RNAcentral
UACGUAGGGUGCGAGCGUUGUCCGGAAUUAUUGGGCGUAAAGGGUACGCAGGCGGUUUAAUAAGUCGAAUGUUAAAGAUCGGGGCUCAACCCCGUAAAGCAUUGGAAACUGAUAAACUUGAGUAGUGGAGAGGAAAGUGGAAUUCCUAGUGUAGUGGUGAAAUACGUAGAUAUUAGGAGGAAUACCAGUAGCGAAGGCGACUUUCUGGACACAAACUGACGCUGAGGUACGAAAGCGUGGGGAGCAAACAGGAUUAGAAACCCCCGUAGUCC